Marchantia polymorpha subsp. ruderalis is the source of this 177-nucleotide non-coding RNA. Lineage: Eukaryota; Viridiplantae; Streptophyta; Marchantiopsida; Marchantiales; Marchantiaceae. The record is from the annotation of a GenBank genome assembly.
AAAGAGAAGGCAAGGUAAGAGCGAUUAUCAUGCUGAAUGGGUUACACAGAGGGCACUGACGACAUUCCACAAGCGGCCAGCAUUGCAGCAACAGAGCAUGGCCGUUUGUGGAUUGUUAUCAAUGCUCUGUGUGUUUCCCAUUCAACCUGAUAUGGACUCUUGCCCAGGCCGCUCUUU